Molecule: ribosomal RNA, 498 nt
Filed under: Trochalus sp. 836033
Lineage: Eukaryota; Metazoa; Arthropoda; Insecta; Coleoptera; Scarabaeidae
Description: partial 16S large subunit ribosomal RNA
Rfam family: Bacterial large subunit ribosomal RNA
Source: RNAcentral
UUUAAGGUCUAAUCUGCCCAAUGAGGGUUUAAAUGGCCGCGGUAUUUUGACCGUGCAAAGGUAGCAUAAUAAUUAGUUUUUUAAUUGAAAGCUGGAAUGAAUGAUUGGACGAGAAAAUAGCUGUCUCAAUUUAAUUUUAUUAGAAUUUUAUUUUUAAGUAAGAAAGCUUAAAUUUUUUUAAAAGACGAGAAGACCCUAUAGAGUUUUAUAUUUUUAUAUUUAUAUUAAUAUUUUUAGAAUUUUAAUUUUAGUAUAUAUAAAAUUAUUUUGUUGGGGUGAUAGAAAAAUUGAAUUAACUUUUUUUAUAUUUGAACAUUAAUUUAUGAUUAAGUGAUCCAUUAUUUAUGAUUAAAAGAUUAAAUUACCUUAGGGAUAACAGCGUAAUUUUUUUUUAGAGUUCUAAUCGAAAAAAAAGAUUGCGACCUCGAUGUUGGAUUAAAAUAUACGUUUGGUGUAGGGGCUAAAUAGUUGGGUCUGUUCGACCUUUAAAAUUUUACA